UACGGAGGGUGCAAGCGUUAUCCGGAUUCACUGGGCUUAAAGGGUGCGUAGGUGGGUCCGUAAGUCCGUGGUGAAAUCUCCGAGCUUAACUUGGAAACUGCCAUGGAUACUAUAGGUCUUGAAUACUGUGGAGGUCAGCGGAAUAUGUCAUGUAGCGGUGAAAUGCUUAGAUAUGACAUAGAACACCAAUUGCGAAGGCAGCUGGCUACACAAAUAUUGACACUGAUGCACGAAAGCGUGGGGAUCAAACAGG
This 253-nucleotide ribosomal RNA is filed under the name uncultured bacterium. RNAcentral describes it as "partial 16S ribosomal RNA". It matches the Rfam family "Bacterial small subunit ribosomal RNA", at positions 524 to 776 of the family's 1533-position model. The record is from RNAcentral.